GAUGAACGCUGGCGGCGUGCCUAAUACAUGCAAGUCGAGCGAACGGACGAGAAGCUUGCUUCUCUGAUGUUAGCGGCGGACGGGCGAGUAACACGUGGAUAACCUACCUAUAAGACUGGGAUAACUUCGGGAAACCGGAGCUAAUACCGGAUAAUAUUUUGAACCGCAUGGUUCAAAAGUGAAAGACGGUCUUGCUGUCACUUAUAGAUGGAUCCGCGCUGCAUUAGCUAGUUGGUAAGGUAACGGCUUACCAAGGCAACGAUGCAUAGCCGACCUGAGAGGGGGUUCGGCCACACUGAAACUGGGACACGGUCCAGACUCCAACGGGAGGAAGCGGUGGGAAAUCUUCCGAAAGGGGCGAAAGCCUGACGGAGAAACGCCGCGGAGGUGAGGAAGGUCUUCGAAUCUAAAACCCCUGUAAUUGGGAAGAAACAUAGGGGUAGUAACUGUGCACAUCUUGACGGUACCUAAUCAGAAAGCCACGGCUAACUACGUG
RNAcentral lists this ribosomal RNA (496 nucleotides) under uncultured bacterium. RNAcentral's name for it is "partial 16S ribosomal RNA". It matches the Rfam family "Bacterial small subunit ribosomal RNA", at positions 28 to 507 of the family's 1533-position model. The record is from RNAcentral.